This is a long non-coding RNA of Pogoniulus pusillus (Red-fronted tinkerbird), 851 nucleotides long. RefSeq lists it as uncharacterized. The transcript is spliced from 2 exons. NCBI's taxonomy places the organism in Eukaryota, Metazoa, Chordata, Aves, Piciformes, Lybiidae. The record is from RefSeq and is a predicted model, not a curated record.
AGGAGCCUGCAUAAAGAUUUUAGCACAUGGUUUAGAAUCCCUUAUUGUGCAGAUUCUCCUGUAUCUCAGUGCACAUUAUUCAUGCUCAAUUACGGUGGGAGAGAUAAGAAUUGGAAGACACAGUUGCAUCCGUGUUCCUGAAUGAAGAGUCAUUAUGCCAUGAUUAGAGAGACUGCAGUGUCAUCCAAGAGAAUUAAUUACAGCAAUAUGUUUUCCAAUCCAAUCUGCCAAUUAUUGCCUUUUCAAAACAGUCAGCUUUGAUUUUGUUUAUAGAUUCUGUACAAACUUUGCAACAAACCCAUAAGCACGUUCAACAUUUCACUACAUCUUCAAAGGUACAGGGAGUUGACUGUGUAUUUGUGGAGGCUGCAGUAACAUUGAGCCUGGGGGUGAAGGCCUCCAAUUUCUGCCAAUGCCUAAGAGCAUUAGGACAACUCUAUUUAUCUUGAAUCACAGACCAAAUUUCUGAAUAUAGAUAAUGAAUGAAAUUCAUUAAUGAAUGAGGUACGCCAGAUAACUCUGGUGCUCAGACUUCCCAGUUCUGACAUCUUAAUCUGUUUCUCUGCAGUGCAUAAUAUCUACUUUGUGGAAGUAGCAUCUUAAUUGUUUUUCACAAAGCAUUUUCAGCCAUUUAUGCUGGACUCUCCAGAGGAAGAAGAAAAGAAGCUGGAUGUGGCUCAUGUCUGUCAGUGUGGAUGUAUAGAAAUAGUAAUGUAAUUUCUUGUUAGACUGAAGUGCCUUUUAAGACUCAUAACAGCGUCUUGCAAUGUUUGUUGCUGAGAGUUGUCUUCAAACUGCAGCUGAAUUUCACACAUGCUGCUGGGGUGCCUUAAUCCUCAGCUCCCUCAGAA